GGCGCGUUGGCGGAGCGGUUACGCAGAGGUCUGCAAAACCUUGAAGACGGGUUCGACUCCCGUACGUGCCUCCA
RNAcentral lists this transfer RNA (74 nucleotides) under Candidatus Saccharimonadota bacterium. Its description in RNAcentral is "tRNA-Cys". It matches the Rfam family "tRNA". From Rfam's summary of the family: Transfer RNA (tRNA) molecules are approximately 80 nucleotides in length. Their secondary structure includes four short double-helical elements and three loops (D, anti-codon, and T loops). Further hydrogen bonds mediate the characteristic L-shaped molecular structure. tRNAs have two regions of fundamental functional importance: the anti-codon, which is responsible for specific mRNA codon recognition, and the 3' end, to which the tRNAs corresponding amino acid is attached (by aminoacyl-tRNA synthetases). tRNAs cope with the degeneracy of the genetic code in two manners: having more than one tRNA (with a specific anti-codon) for a particular amino acid; and 'wobble' base-pairing, i.e. permitting non-standard base-pairing at the 3rd anti-codon position. RNAcentral also lists the same sequence under 2 other names. Lineage: Bacteria; Candidatus Saccharimonadota. The record is from RNAcentral.